Molecule: long non-coding RNA, 186 nt
Organism: Octopus sinensis (East Asian common octopus)
Lineage: Eukaryota; Metazoa; Mollusca; Cephalopoda; Octopoda; Octopodidae
Exons: 3
Source: RefSeq, a predicted model, not a curated record
AUCCUGUCUCCUCUCACCAUCCACGAACUUUUACGGAUUCUCUACUGGACUUUCUACACUUCAGCUGCACCUCUCCUGCCUAUGGAUUACACUGGACACCUCUGUUGAUGAAAAAUUGCUCCAAUACACAACGACGUUUGAAGCUUUUGAACCUUUUGAACUUUUCGAAAAAAAUUUAUUUAGCCA